UACAAAUAUAAUUCUGGUACUAAUUCUACAGUAAAGAUACACCAAAUACAUUAUCAGUCAGGUUCAGUACCAACACCAUUUUAGACAUCAAAACAUAUUUAUAAUAUAGUGGUACCAGUGCAGGUGUAAAGCGUGCAAAUUCUCGACGGUACAAACUGUAUGUUGACAAAUUGUCGAUGCAAUGUAUAGGAAGCUAAAAGUUUCGGAUGUAUAUAACCAAUUGACUCACCAUGUAGAUGUCGAUAUCUUGAAGCAUGCAACCAAAAUUAUAUCAGCCUUUUGGAACUGUAAUAUCGUCUAAACACGAUAUACAGAUCAUUAAAUAUAAAAAAGGGUUUAGAUAGCAA
RNAcentral lists this long non-coding RNA (347 nucleotides) under Hordeum vulgare. RNAcentral's name for it is "long non-coding RNA (HVUL_LNC001146)". The record is from RNAcentral. Lineage: Eukaryota; Viridiplantae; Streptophyta; Magnoliopsida; Poales; Poaceae.